Ailuropoda melanoleuca (giant panda) is the source of this 99-nucleotide small nuclear RNA. The record is from Ensembl. NCBI's taxonomy places the organism in Eukaryota, Metazoa, Chordata, Mammalia, Carnivora, Ursidae.
GUGCUUGCUUUGGUAGCACCUAUCCUGCAAUUGGAACGAUACAGAGAAGAUGAGCAUGGCCCCUGCACAAGGGACAAGCAGAUUCGUGAGAAUAUUGUU